Molecule: long non-coding RNA, 168 nt
Organism: Syngnathus acus (greater pipefish)
Lineage: Eukaryota; Metazoa; Chordata; Actinopteri; Syngnathiformes; Syngnathidae
Exons: 3
Source: RefSeq, a predicted model, not a curated record
GUCGUUCAGCAUGCCUCAAUCUACCACCGACUCUCAGCAGCUCUGUGGUUUUGUCGUAUUCUGGUGACAGGGAUAUAAGACGACUGUUUAACGGAAGCGCACGUCCAACUUUGAGGGCUCUCAAUUCAUCAGCAAAGCAGUCUUCUUGGGCCUUUUGAAGCAUAAGCU